CCUACGGGAGGCAGCAGUGAGGAAUAUUGGGCAAUGCCCGAAAGGGUGACCCAGCAACGCCGCGUGGAGGAUGAAAGUCGUAAGAUUGUAAACUCCUGUGAGAUGAGACGAAAAAAUGAAUUUCGAAAGGAAUUUAUUUUGACUGUAUCGUCAGAGGAAGCCCCGGCUAACUACGUGCCAGCAGCCGCGGUAAU
Molecule: ribosomal RNA, 194 nt
Filed under: uncultured bacterium
Lineage: Bacteria
Description: partial 16S ribosomal RNA
Rfam family: Bacterial small subunit ribosomal RNA
Source: RNAcentral